This 650-nucleotide unclassified non-coding RNA is filed under the name Zea mays. RNAcentral describes it as "misc RNA Zm00001eb316020". Lineage: Eukaryota; Viridiplantae; Streptophyta; Magnoliopsida; Poales; Poaceae. The record is from RNAcentral.
CGCAGUCGCCGUUUGCUCUGCCACCACGCAUCAAUGUCCCAGCACCUCGCAGCCGCAUUGAAGCUCUUGAUCUGAACUCCCAGUCCCAGGGUACCGAUUUUCCAUAUCUCUCAUCCUACCAAGAUGUUCUCCAGUCAGGUGAUGGUGGAUCCGACCUAGGUUUGCCUCCUCUUGGUCGUGGUAGAUCAGCGCGCACACUAUUUCAAUCCACCAGAACCAUUUCAGCUCCUAUUUCUCAUGCCCGAGGUCCAAUUCGAGGUUGCCGUGGAGUUAGGGGGAGAGGCACUAGUAGUCGUGGUGGAGGUCGAUCUGCUAUUUCUGCACCUAUUGACCCUGUCCUCAUUGAAGAUUUUGGAGAUGAACCAACCAAUGAAAUGGAUUCUCGAGCUUCUGUGCCUCGUUUUGACAAGGCCAAUUGGAAUGAAGAGAACACACAAAUAUUCUGUGAUUUAUGUGUUGACCAAAUUAGAGCUGGGAACUGUCUAAAUGGUACAAUGACAACCAGAGGAUACAACCUGAUAAAGGAAGAAUUCUUUUCUAAGACAGGACUCAGACACGACACCAAACAAUUUAAGAAUAGAUGGACUCAGUGUAAGGCCUUGUACUCUUUUUGGUUGUUUCUUAACAAUCAAAGUGGGUUAGGAAGAAGG